AGAGUUUGAUCCUGGCUCAGAGUGAUCGCUGGCGGCGUGCUUAACACAUGCAAGUCGAGCGAAUUUUGGCAGCGUAUCGCCAGAGUUAGCGGCAGACGGGUGAGUAAUACUUGGGUAAUCUACCCUUGAGUGGGAAACAACCGGCCGAAAGGCUGGCUAAUGUCCCAUAAGACCACAGGAUGGCAUCAUCCAGGGGUCAAAGGUCCGCAAGGGCCGCUUGAGGAGGAACCCGAGUCCUAUCAUGGUAGUCGGUGAGGUAACGGCUCACCAAGCCUUUGACGGGUAGCCGGCCUGAAAGGGUGAUCGGCCACACUGGCACUGAGACACGGGCCAGACUCCUACGGGAGGCAGCAGUGGGGAAUUUUGGACAAUGGGGGCAACCCUGAUCCAGCGACGCCGCGUGAAGGAUGAAGGUCUUCGGAUUGUAAA
RNAcentral lists this ribosomal RNA (429 nucleotides) under uncultured bacterium. RNAcentral's name for it is "bacterial SSU rRNA". It matches the Rfam family "Bacterial small subunit ribosomal RNA", at positions 8 to 429 of the family's 1533-position model. The record is from RNAcentral.